UCUUAGUGGCGGACGGGUGAGUAACGCGUGGGGAACCUGCCCUGUACAGGGGGAUAACACUUAGAAAUAGGUGCUAAUACCGCAUAAGCGCACAGUAUCGCAUGAUACAGUGUGAAAAACUCCGGUGGUACAGGAUGGACCCGCGUCUGAUUAGCUGGUUGGCGGGGUAACGGCCCACCAAGGCGACGAUGCGUAGGGGUUCUGAGAGGAAGGCCCCCCACACUGGUACUGAGACACGGACCAGACUCCUACGGAAGGCAGCAG
This 264-nucleotide ribosomal RNA is filed under the name uncultured bacterium. RNAcentral's name for it is "partial 16S ribosomal RNA". It matches the Rfam family "Bacterial small subunit ribosomal RNA", at positions 90 to 354 of the family's 1533-position model. The record is from RNAcentral.